RNAcentral lists this ribosomal RNA (252 nucleotides) under Aedoeadaptatus coxii. RNAcentral's name for it is "Peptoniphilus coxii partial 16S ribosomal RNA". It matches the Rfam family "Bacterial small subunit ribosomal RNA", at positions 524 to 776 of the family's 1533-position model. Lineage: Bacteria; Bacillati; Bacillota; Tissierellia; Tissierellales; Peptoniphilaceae. The record is from RNAcentral.
UACGUAGGGGGCGAGCGUUGUCCGGAAUUACUGGGCGUAAAGGGUUCGCAGGCGGCAUGACAAGUCUGAUGUAAAAGGCGAAAGCUCAACUUUCGUAAGCAUCGGAAACUGUCAAGCUUGAGUGAAGGAGAGGCAAGUGGAAUUCCUAGUGUAGCGGUGGAAUGCGUAGAUAUUAGGAGGAAUACCGGUGGCGAAGGCGACUUGCUGGACUUCAACUGACGCUGAGGAACGAAAGCGUGGGUAGCAAACAGG